CUUUGACAUGUUAUAUCUUUUCCUCCGCAGUCAUAUCGGUGUCCGUCGAAACCGGAUGUGUGAUUGCAUCGUAACCGGAAAUGACGUCAGAAUAUUGGGAUGACAUUUACCGGAAGCUGAAUGUUCUAUCAAUUUCCAACACCGUCAUUAGCCACUGGAAUUAUGUCGGGAUCCAGCAUAAACAUGCUCUUGUGGACGACAUACCUCUCACUCACGACGAAAGAAAAGAAUUGUCUGCUAUGUUUGAGGCCAUUUUGGAUAACAGGAACCGGAAGUGAAAAUUUGGAAUGGAUUGUGGGAUUUAACACUGACGUAAAAGUCUUAACGCUGCGUUAAUUAACGUCAGCAUUAA
Long non-coding RNA from Dreissena polymorpha, 352 nucleotides. RefSeq lists it as uncharacterized. The record is from RefSeq and is a predicted model, not a curated record. The transcript has 3 exons. Lineage: Eukaryota; Metazoa; Mollusca; Bivalvia; Myida; Dreissenidae.